GGGUGUGAGGGCGAUCUGGCUGUGAAGUCUGUCACCCCAUUGAUCGCCAGGGUUGAUUCGGCUGAUCUGGCUGGCUAGGCGGGUGUCCCCUUCCUCCCUCACUGCUCCCUCCCAAGCUGCUCACUCAGUCUAAGAGGACAGCCUCCCCCGAAUAUAGACUGACCCCGGUCCUCGAUCAAGGGUAUAUGAGUAGCUGCACUUCCCUGCUAGAACCUCCAAACAAGCUCUCAAGGUCCAAAAUAUGUCUGCUGAGAGUGUACUCCACUUACUCAGAAGAUGAAUCACUUUUUUAAAAAAAUAUUUAUUUAUUC
RNAcentral lists this small nuclear RNA (311 nucleotides) under Erinaceus europaeus (western European hedgehog). Its description in RNAcentral is "7SK RNA". It matches the Rfam family "7SK RNA". From Rfam's summary of the family: 7SK was discovered as an abundant small nuclear RNA in the mid-70s but a possible function has only recently been suggested. Two independent studies have found that 7SK RNA binds the CDK9/cyclin T complex (known as elongation factor P-TEFb). Lineage: Eukaryota; Metazoa; Chordata; Mammalia; Eulipotyphla; Erinaceidae. The record is from Rfam by way of RNAcentral.